RNAcentral lists this ribosomal RNA (252 nucleotides) under uncultured bacterium. RNAcentral's name for it is "partial 16S ribosomal RNA". It matches the Rfam family "Bacterial small subunit ribosomal RNA", at positions 524 to 775 of the family's 1533-position model. The record is from RNAcentral.
UACGAAGGGGGCUAGCGUUGCUCGGAAUCACUGGGCGUAAAGCGCACGUAGGCGGCCUCUUAAGUCAGGGGUGAAAUCCUGGAGCUCAACUCCAGAACUGCCUUUGAUACUGAGAAGCUUGAGUUCGGGAGAGGUGAGUGGAACUGCGAGUGUAGAGGUGAAAUUCGUAGAUAUUCGCAAGAACACCAGUGGCGAAGGCGGCUCACUGGCCCGAUACUGACGCUGAGGUGCGAAAGCGUGGGGAGCAACAGG